AGGGUCCCCUUCCGAUAAGGGAAACGAGCGAGUGUGGCUACUCGAUAGCCUUAGCACGCUAGUUUCGCCUUCUAAUCAAAGGGAAAAUCAAGUCACGAUUUAGGUCUCCCCGUACCCAAUAUGCAUGAAUUCCCUAGGCUCAUGCAUUCUCAAUCCACUCUAUCAUUACACUUUCACUUUUGUCUCAUUUGCACACAUGCACCUUUUUAUCACCUUCACUUGCACACGAACACUUUUUUGUCUCCACUUGCACA
RNAcentral lists this long non-coding RNA (254 nucleotides) under Coffea arabica (coffee). RNAcentral describes it as "long non-coding RNA (CARA_LNC003427)". The record is from RNAcentral. Lineage: Eukaryota; Viridiplantae; Streptophyta; Magnoliopsida; Gentianales; Rubiaceae.